GGAGUCUAGCAUGUGCGCGAGUCAUUGGGACAUAACUAAACCUAAAGGCGCAAUGAAAGUAAAGGCCAGCCUCGCGCUGGCCGAGGGAAGAUGGGCGCGGCACCGUCCGCGCUCCGCACUCCCGGGGCGUCUCGUUCUCAUCGCGAGAAGAGGCGCACCAAGAGCGUACACGCUGGGACCCGAAAGAUGGUGAACUAUGCCUGGUCAGGACGAAGUCAGGGGAAACCCUGAUGGAGGUCCGUAGCGAUUCUGACGUGCAAAUCGAUCGUCGGAACUGGGUAUAGGGGCGAAAGACUAAUCGAACCAUCUAGUAGCUGGUUCCCUCCGAAGUUUCCCUCAGGAUAGCUGGCGCUCGUCGCUCACGAGUCUCAUCCGGUAAAGCGAAUGAUUAGAGGCAUUGGGGCCGAAACGGCCUCAACCUAUUCUCAAACUUUAAAUGGGUGAGAUCUCCGGCUUGCUCGAACUGUUGAAGCCGCGAGACACGGAUCAGAGUGCCAAGUGGGCCAUUUUUGGUAAGCAGAACUGGCGCUGUGGGAUGAACCAAACGCCGAGUUAAAGCGCCUAAAUCGACGCUUAUGGGAUACCAUGAAAGGCGUUGGUAACUUAAGACAGCAGGACGGUGGCCAUGGAAGUC
This 634-nucleotide ribosomal RNA is filed under the name Hylodanacaea semicincta. RNAcentral's name for it is "eukaryotic LSU rRNA". It matches the Rfam family "Eukaryotic large subunit ribosomal RNA", at positions 670 to 1262 of the family's 3401-position model. Lineage: Eukaryota; Metazoa; Arthropoda; Insecta; Coleoptera; Melyridae. The record is from RNAcentral.